RNA transcript from Triticum aestivum (bread wheat), 2296 nucleotides. It is a transcript of the gene named deoxyhypusine synthase, with no coding region annotated. The transcript is spliced from 3 exons. The record is from RefSeq and is a predicted model, not a curated record. NCBI's taxonomy places the organism in Eukaryota, Viridiplantae, Streptophyta, Magnoliopsida, Poales, Poaceae.
UACUACAUCGUAGUGUUUGCUUCUUUUGUCUUCUGUGUUUUUUGCUUCCUCCUCCACUUACGCCAUGAUGACUUCCAAUGAGCAGAUACAAAGCAACGAGGCGCCGACUCCCGAGCUGCCGGACGAGCUCGUUUCAGAGAUCCUGACCCGACUGCCGAUCAAGUCUCUCCUCCGUUUUAAGUGCAUCAGCAAGGCCUGGCGCGCAACCAUAUCCGACCCCUCCUUCGUCCAAGGACACCUCAAUUUAUCCGCCCGCAGAUGGAAGCAGAACCCAUCUUUGCUCAUCACCGGGCAUAGCCUGGAUCACGAUAACAAAGGAAACAUCGGGUUCUACCAAUGGCAGCAAGGCGCCUCCGAGGCAUGGCUCGUGCACAGCGGGGACUUUACCGGCAAGUUCCACUUGCCUCGCUUCUUCCCCCAUUGUGACGGCUUGGUGCUUUUUCCCACAAACACAAAGGCGUACCUCUUCAACCCCGCCACCAGGGACGUCGUCACACUGCCGGAGAGUGGCCACGGCAACGUGCCCCCUUCCCUCUGCUCCAUUGGGUUAGGCCGAGAUCUUCGCACGGGCAUGUACAAAGUAGUCCAGUUCUUCAUUCGUUCGAGAGACAAUAAAUUCUACAACGGGGUGGAGGUGUGCACCGUGGGCGACUCUGCUCCUCGAUGGAGGGAAGUCAUGGCGGAUAGGUGGUACCACGCCAAUCCGUGGGUGAACGCGCAAUCUGUGAAUGGGUGUGUGUACUGGAUCGUCCACGUCAGUACCAACCUAGAGUUGAACCCACCCUGCCUCCUCCGCUUCAGCUUGGAUGAUGAGGCGUUGAGCGUCACCCAUUUGCUUUCUGAUUUGUCGGACCUCGGGAUCGACGGCGGCAACAAAGAUGUUGAACACUUGAACAUGAGUGUGUUGCAUGGGAAGUUGUGUCUAACCGGUUAUCGCGUCAGUGAGACUAGUGACGUGCAUCGGCUGGUGAUGGUCUGGGCGCUCGUGGAAGAUGGGGCCAACUCCAUGUGGGAACCGCGUUACGCGUUGCAUGGAAUGGGCCCGUGCCAGCCAAUCGCUCUUCUUCCGGGCACGCUGAUGCUACGGUCCAAUGUCAAGUUGUGCCUCUACGAUCUGCAGACACGUGAGCUGACAAAUGCUUGUGAAUUGAGUAGGUUGAGAUACCAAUGUCAUGGGUUAGUUGAACUCGAGCCUGCUUGGAAGGAUGUGUACUUCUUCAACGUGAUACCCUACAUGGAAAGUCUUGUUCCCGUCGGCGCUCAUCGGGCCUCAACUUCUCCUCAUGCGGGAGUGCCACCAUGAACGGAUGAGAUUAAAUAUGGAAGCUCAUAGUCAUAGGUUAGUUCAUUCUUCUGUUUGGUUCAGUUGUCCAGAUGAUUUUUGUAAAUACAGGCCAGUGUGUUCUGAAAAAUAAUAAUCUAUCAAGCACAUUACUUGCUUCGACAAAAAAUUCUGAAAAUUCUAGAAGAUCAUCGCUUGCGGCAGAACCAGUUUGUGUAUUUUGUUCAUUUUUAUCACCUGUGCUUAAUUUGACGGCCCAGUCGUGGCCUUCCCUUUGGGCCUUGGAUCUAUUUGCUGUGGGAGACGGGAAGCUUAAGCUUGAGGCCCAGCCCAGCCCAGCAAACAGGACAGCCACCGCCUGCCUGCGGAAGCCGCCGCCACGCCACGCCGGAAUCCCUCUCCCUCCACCGCGCCGAGCUCCCCACAAAACACCGUCCCGGACGCACGCCUCUCCAAGUCCGCCGGCCCCCGACCGACGCCCUCUCCGACGAGUACGAGCAGGCCAGACCUCUCUCCACCACGCCGGCCGGAUCCCCGCCGCCGCUGACCUCCUUCGCCUCUCCCCUCGUCUCCCUUCCGCCACCAUGCUUCUGGGCGACAAGGCUGUACUGAAGCAGCAAGGAGGCGGCGAGGAGGAGGAGAUGGGAGGUGACGGGAUGAGUGCAAGUGAGCUUGUUAGCAAGGAGAUGGAGGGCGUCCGUGCCAUCGUGCUCAAGCCGUCCGAGUCCCUCGACGAGUCGCGAUUCAUGAAAAUCGCCGGCGCCGACUUCAACGACGCCGGCCUCGGCCUCGACGGCCUUCUUGGCUCCCUCGCCUCCACGGGGUUCCAGGCGUCCAACCUCGCCGACGCCAUCGACGUCGUCAAUCAGAUGAUUGGAGCUUGUCGCAUGAGAAGCCAAGCGAGGACUGCGAUGAAGCUGAACUUGACCCGAAAUACAGAGAAUCUGUCAGGUGCAAGAUAUUUCUUGGUUUCACCUCAAACCUUGUUUCUUCCGGUAUACGGGAUGUUAUACG